Molecule: microRNA precursor, 136 nt
Filed under: Hordeum vulgare
Lineage: Eukaryota; Viridiplantae; Streptophyta; Magnoliopsida; Poales; Poaceae
Description: microRNA MIR1122
Rfam family: MIR1120/MIR1122 microRNA precursor family
Source: RNAcentral
UAUAUACUUCCUCCGUUUUAAAAUUCUUGUUUUAGAUUUGUCUAGAUAUGAAUGUAUCUAAUCACGUUUUAGUAUUUUGAUACAUCCAUUUCUAGACAAACCUAAGACAAGAAUUUUAAGACGGAGGGAGUAGUCU